GGUGCGUAGGCGGUUCUAUAAGUCAGUGGUGAAAUACGGCAGCUUAACUGUCGAGGUGCCAUUGAUACUGUAGAACUUGAGUAUAGACGAGGUAGGCGGAAUUGACGGUGUAGCGGUGAAAUGCUUAGAUAUCGUCAAGAACACCGAUAGCGAAGGCAGCUUACUAGACUAAAACUGACGCUGAGGCACGAAAGUGUGGGGAUCAAACAGGAUUAGAUACCCUGGUAGUCCACACUGUAAACGAUGAUUACUCGAUGUUGGCGAUACACAGCCAGCGUCUUAGCAAAAGCGAUAAGUAAUCCACCUGGGGAGUACGCCGGCAACGGUGAAACUCAAAGGAAUUGA
Molecule: ribosomal RNA, 345 nt
Filed under: uncultured bacterium
Lineage: Bacteria
Description: bacterial SSU rRNA
Rfam family: Bacterial small subunit ribosomal RNA
Source: RNAcentral